RNAcentral lists this transfer RNA (86 nucleotides) under Aquificota bacterium. RNAcentral's name for it is "tRNA-Leu". It matches the Rfam family "tRNA". Rfam says of the family: Transfer RNA (tRNA) molecules are approximately 80 nucleotides in length. Their secondary structure includes four short double-helical elements and three loops (D, anti-codon, and T loops). The record is from RNAcentral. Lineage: Bacteria; Pseudomonadati; Aquificota.
GCCGGAGUGGCGGAACUGGCAGACGCGGGGGACUCAAAAUCCUCUGCCCCGAAAGGGGCGUGCGGGUUCGACUCCCGCCUCCGGCA